This 1642-nucleotide long non-coding RNA is filed under the name Nicotiana tabacum (common tobacco). RNAcentral's name for it is "long non-coding RNA (NTAB_LNC003871)". Lineage: Eukaryota; Viridiplantae; Streptophyta; Magnoliopsida; Solanales; Solanaceae. The record is from RNAcentral.
AUUUAGUGAGUGCAUAAUCUCAUGAGUUGCAAAAGGCAAUUCAGCGGAUUACGUACAUUAUUCAUCGAUGGUGUUCUAUACCCUUGCCUCUGGUAACAUACUGGGAUACCAAGGGAAAUAUUUUGGCUGAUUUGAUUGUUACCCUUGUAGGAAGGAGUAUUUCAACUGCUCUUUCUGCUGGAGCAGCACUUGCAGUCACUUCUGGUGUAAUUGAUGGAUUAGGUGCAACGACGAGAACUGACAAUGGCAAGGAGUACUAUCCUUACACUACGAAGAAAAGGGCUGCUGUUGAAUGACUGUAGUUGGACAGAAUUAGCGCGACUCAGCGGAAGUUCACUAUGAAUGAUGUGAUCGCACCCUCUUGUUUUGUGCUAUUCUACUUUUUUCCCCUUUAACCUGAAAGGAUGAUGCAAAUAAGAAUGCUAUGUACUAUACUUCUAUCAUUGCAGGUGAUUUUUCAUUGAGUUUGAUACCUGACUGGAUAUUUUAAUGGGUUAUAUCUGUCAUUCCAAAUUAUGACACUCUUUCGCUUCUCUAUUUCUGAUUAUGAAUUGUGAUGAUUUGCUAUAAACAAUUGUUGUUUGCAAAGAUGAAGCCUGUCCUUCACUGUAUAAAACCAGUGUUAGUUUUGUGUUGCUGUAUACUAGGCAAAUAGUAGCUUGAACCAAUGCUUGGAUUUGCCUGCAAGUAAACCUUGUGGCUGAAGUAACCCUUUAUGGCAUCGAUUGAAUGCUUUUUUAGUAGCUGUAAACCAUUGUUGGAGUAACUUUUGAGUUAUGGGUUCAAGAAAUCAAUGUGGAUUUUUUUCGUAGAAAGAGACAUUUGACAUCUUCGCGACCGGGCCAGGAAAAGCUUUUGGGCUUCACCUGUUCGCAGACAUCCGCUAGUCCCAAUGGAGGAUCAAACUAUGGGUUUGUAGGUUGAUAAAGUUCAGUGUUUGGAAGUCAAACUUUAGGUGUGUGUGCAGAAAAACAAGUAUAGAUGAAGUUAAUGUACAUUUGAAAAUUCACUUUGUCAAACGCAGAAUUCACAUCGUUUUAAUUCUGAAUCUGUUGUUGACCCUAUCUUUUUGCUAUGUUGCUAAACAAUGAACCUAACUACUUAGACACUCAGUGGAACAUCAUACUUUGAUCUCCGAAUUACACUGACCAUAAUCAUCAUUCAUUUAGUCCUUUACAUUUAUGCAUUGUCCAAGACAACAUUCGAUGUAGGGACAAAGGUUGAAACUUUACUUUCUUUUUCUUUUUCUUCCUGGUAAUGUCCUUGCUUUCACAAACUCAUCAGCUCCUUAGUUCCUCUUCAUCUUAUUAUUUAUUUGUUGUCCUUACAAAAUCAUCAAUUUACCUGUGUUAGAAAAUACGCAGUUCCGGAAAAAAUGUCUUAUGUUUGUUAAUGUGUCCUCCAAACUCCCAAGGAAUAAAAAUAUCUAUAUCUCAGUAAGACAUGAUUGGGCACAAACUCUCAAAUUCAGUAGAGAAUCAAAAGUAGCCUUGCAGCGUUCUAGUGUUGAACGCAAUGGAACGUUUACGUUAGUACAUUUUCAGUACAUUAUGUUUUUCUUUUAAAAAAUAUAAGGAUGAAAGGAGAUACUAAUUUUAUAAAUUAUUCAAAUGAGUGAAAAACAGGAGACAACACAACAAUU